GUAGGUGGCAAGCGUUGUCCGGAAUUAUUGGGCGUAAAGCGCGCGCAGGCGGUUCUUUAAGUCUGAUGUGAAAGCCCACGGCUCAACCGUGGAGGGUCAUUGGAAACUGGAGAACUUGAGUGCAGAAGAGGAAAGCGGAAUUCCACGUGUAGCGGUGAAAUGCGUAGAGAUGUGGAGGAACACCAGUGGCGAAGGCGGCUUUCUGGUCUGUAACUGACGCUGAGGCGCGAAAGCGUGGGGAGCAAACAGGAUUAGAUACCCUGGUAGUCCACGCCGUAAACGAUGAGUGCUAAGUGUUAGGGGGUUUCCGCCCCCCUUAGUGCUGCAGCUAACGCAUUAAGCACUCCGCCUGGGAGUACGGCCGCAAGGCUG
This 372-nucleotide ribosomal RNA is filed under the name uncultured organism. RNAcentral's name for it is "partial 16S ribosomal RNA". It matches the Rfam family "Bacterial small subunit ribosomal RNA", at positions 527 to 896 of the family's 1533-position model. The record is from RNAcentral.